Molecule: ribosomal RNA, 492 nt
Filed under: uncultured bacterium
Lineage: Bacteria
Description: partial 16S ribosomal RNA
Rfam family: Bacterial small subunit ribosomal RNA
Source: RNAcentral
AGUGAACGCUGGCGGUAGGCCUAACACAUGCAAGUCGAACGGCAGCACAGUAAGAGCUUGCUCUUACGGGUGGCGAGUGGCGGACGGGUGAGGAAUACAUCGGAAUCUACUUUUUCGUGGGGGAUAACGUAGGGAAACUUACGCUAAUACCGCAUACGACCUACGGGUGAAAGCAGGGGAUCUUCGGACCUUGCGCGAUUGAAUGAGCCGAUGUCGGAUUAGCUAGUUGGCGGGGUAAAGGCCCACCAAGGCGACGAUCCGUAGCUGGUCUGAGAGGAUGAUCAGCCACACUGGAACUGAGACACGGUCCAGACUCCUACGGGAGGCAGCAGUGGGGAAUAUUGGACAAUGGGCGCAAGCCUGCUCCAGCCAUACCGUGUGGGUGAAGAAGGCCUUCGGGUUGUAAAGCCCUUUUGUUGGGAAAGAAAAGCAGCAGGUUAAUACCCCGCUGUUCUGACGGUACCCAAAGAAUAAGCACCGGCUAACUUCGUG